GAUGAACGCUGGCGGCGUGCCUAAUACAUGCAAGUCGAGCGAACAGACGAGGAGCUUGCUCCUCUGACGUUAGCGGCGGACGGGUGAGUAACACGUGGAUAACCUACCUAUAAGACUGGGAUAACUUCGGGAAACCGGAGCUAAUACCGGAUAAUAUAUUGAACCGCAUGGUUCAAUAGUGAAAGACGGUUUUGCUGUUACUUAUAGAUGGAUUCGCGCCGCAUUAGCUAGUUGGUAAGGUAACGGCUUACCAAGGCAACGAUGCGUAGCCGACCUGAGAGGGUGAUCGGCCACACUGGAACUGAGACACGGUCCAGACUCCUACGGGAGGCAGCAGUAGGGAAUCUUCCGCAAUGGGCGAAAGCCUGACGGAGCAACGCCGCGUGAGUGAUGAAGGUCUUCGGAUCGUAAAACUCUGUUAUUAGGGAAGAACAAAUGUGUAAGUAACUAUGCACGUCUUGACGGUACCUAAUCAGAAAGCCACGGCUAACUACGUG
Molecule: ribosomal RNA, 497 nt
Filed under: uncultured bacterium
Lineage: Bacteria
Description: partial 16S ribosomal RNA
Rfam family: Bacterial small subunit ribosomal RNA
Source: RNAcentral